Molecule: ribosomal RNA, 164 nt
Filed under: uncultured bacterium
Lineage: Bacteria
Description: partial 16S rRNA
Rfam family: Bacterial small subunit ribosomal RNA
Source: RNAcentral
UAGGGAAUCUUCCACAAUGGGCGAAAGCCUGAUGGAGCAACGCCGCGUGUGUGAUGAAGGGUUUCGGCUCGUAAAACACUGUUGUAAGAGAAGAAUGACAUUGAGAGUAACUGUUCAAUGUGUGACGGUAUCUUACCAGAAAGGGACGGCUAAAUACGUGCCAC